Molecule: long non-coding RNA, 641 nt
Filed under: Micromonas commoda
Lineage: Eukaryota; Viridiplantae; Chlorophyta; Mamiellophyceae; Mamiellales; Mamiellaceae
Description: long non-coding RNA (MCOM_LNC000308)
Source: RNAcentral
UUCUUAACCCGUUCACUGCCAGCCAUAUCUACCACCGUGAGUAAGCCCUGGUGUUGUAAGAGCUCCAAAGUUCGCCUGUAUCCACUGGAGUUGAGCUGAGGCAUCACAGUAGUGUUGUCUGGUCGAGGAACACGGUUGACCUUGAGCUGGAGCACACAGUGUGACCUAGAGGAGUGCUUGUUCAUCAUCGUCUCGGCAUACACCAGCCCCUUCCUUCCCUGUCGAAAGCAGUCCAAGAGAUGCUCGGGCGAUUUGCACCUGUACCACGUGCAGUCCAGAAGCUCCCAGCCUCCACCCGCUGACGCCUUCCUCUGACACGCCCUCAGACCUCGCUCGGAGUUUCCCGGAGUGCGCUUCAUGUCGUUCGGUUUGAGCAGGUCCAUGACCGUCUCGUUGUAAAUCUGCACCAUCGCUAUCUCCACGUCGUACAUGUGCGUCCAAUCCGCGGCGAUGCGGGUGAACAAGUCGACCGCGAGCCUCGGCACGAGACCGGCCUCGCCUCCGUCGCCAAGGUUGAGCAGGGAGUGUGUUUUGCCGCUCCCCGUCUGGCCGUACCCGAGGAUGGCGCCGUGACAUCCACGGAGGACUGAGUCCAGCACGGGCGCGCCGACGGCCUCGUAAACAUCAUGUUGCGUGGAUCG